UCUCAUUCAAGGCAGUUGUGAGCCACCAUGUGGUUGCUGGGAAUUGAACUCAGGGCCUCUGGAGAGCAGUCAGUGCUCUUAACCGCUGAGCCAUCUCUCCAGCCCGGAAAAAGUAUUCUUACACAUUGAGUUUCCGCGAAUCUCAUGGGCCCCGCUACUUCAGAUGGUUGCUGUAGUCUCAGUAAAGGGAGGUUGGAAGCAGUAGGGGCUCUUAAGUUACACACGUAACCAUUCCUAUAUUAGUUUUCUUACUGCUUUGAUGAAACACUUGGCCAAGCAAUGUAAGGAAAGGUUUAUUUGGGCUGACAGUUCCAGGGGGUCAUCCAAGGGUUGUGGGAUAUGUAUACACUGUUUGAGAAACGUAUGGCUGUGAUUGGUGUCAUAAGAAGCCAAACAGCCAAUAACUAGGCAGGAGGUAUAGGCGGGACUUCUGAGCAGAGAGAGAACUCUGGGAAGAAGAAAGGCAGAGUCGCCAGCCAGACUUGGAGAAGGCAGGGUGGGGAGUACGGAGAUGAGGUAAUACCACGGGGAAGAACAUAGAUUAAUAUAAAUAGAUCAAUUUAAGUUAUAAGUACUAGUGGGACCAGCCUAAGCUAAGACCGAGCUUUCAUAAUUAAUUAAAAAAAAAAGUCUCUGUGUUUUUAUUUGUGAACUGACAGCCCAGAGGAAAGUCCAACUACACCCAAGAUGGUGGGGAAGAUGUAGCAGCAAGAGCAUGAUAGAGCCAGGCACAUUGCAUCUAUAGUCAGGUACAUUGUAUCUAUAGUCAGGCACAUUGUAUCUAUAGCCAGGUACAUUGUAUCUAUAUCUAGAUACAUUGUAUCCAUAGCCAGAUACAUUGUAUCUACAUCCAGAAAGCAGAGAACAAUAAAUGCUAAGUGUUUGCUCACUUUCUCCUUUUGAUACAGUCCACAUACAGAGUGAGCCUUCCUACCUCUGUUACCCCAAUCUAGGAAAUUUCUCAUAGGCAGGCCCAGAGACUUGUCUCCAAGACAAUCCUAGAUUGACAAUCAAGAUUAGUUUUCACAAUGUCAAAGACAGCUGGCAGUCUCUGUCAGCAUCACACAUAUUAGAUAGAUCCCUGUGCAGCUUCUACUGUGUGCUGAUUCCAAUCUAAAGGGGGUCCAUGUGGAUUAACCUAAUAUUGAUGAAGGGGGAACAAUAAAAUAAGGUGACAAGUAUGACUGCCAGCACCAUCGAUCAAACGUGAAAUCAGGUUUACCUUUGAAGUCAGAACAUUGAAAAUAAAGCCGAGGCGGGACUAGGUGCCCGAGAAUCCCACAAGUGUAGCAUGUCCAUCUAGUCUGUCUUGCCUAGUCCACAUGAAUCUUCACCACUUAAGGACAUGGCACCGGGUACAGGUCUCCGGCUGACAACAGACAGUGGCUUGGGGCAUGUCCUGAAAGGAAGUUGUCAACCACUGAUGUGCUCUGGUGAUGAUGGUGCUGACCCCAAGAGGGUGUGGUCCAUUCAGUAGAAGUUUAGAAAAUCUGAACUGGUUUACAGUGACAAAAACCAGGCCACCGGUCUGAUCACGGACAGGUGGGAGGAGGGAGCUUGAGGAUUUCAGGAGGAAGUUCCAUCUUCUCUGUGUUGCUUUCUGUCACUAUGACCAAUACCUGAGAUAAUCAACUUAUAAGGAGAGGUUUGUUUGGGGUCCCAGGUUUGGAGGCCCAUGGUUGGACAGCUAGGCUGAUUUGGGCUUAGGGCAAGGCAGCACAUCAUGUUGGGUUUUAUGGCAGAGCAAACCACUAAGCUCUUCCCAAGCCUGGGAGCAAAAACAGGAGGAAGGAGCUAGGUCCCACAGCCACCAUCAAGGGCAUGUCCCCAACCCCAUCCCCUCUAUUAGGUCCUACCUGUUAUUCCUCAUGGUGGUUCUACUGGGGAACCAAACCUUCCACAGAUGGGACACAAGGGAUAUCCAGAUCCUCAGGAUGUAUUGUGGGGAUGGCUUAUGGACGAUGCAUGUACAUUCUCUCCCUGGAGAGACUCUCUUGGUCACCAAUGCUGCAGGCAUGUGUGGGGAAAAACUGUAAUAUCUUUAGGAACAACUUCCGAGCCCCUCUGUUUUUUUGUUUUUUUGUUUUUUUGUUUUUAGAUUUUAUUUAUUUAUUUAUUAUACAUUCUGCUUCCAUGUAUAUCUGCACACCAGAAGAGGGCACCAGAUCUCAUUACAGAUGGUCAUGAGCCACCAUGUGGUUGCUGGGAAUUGAACUCAGGACCUCUGGGAAGAGCUGCUAGUGUUCUCAACCUCUGAGCCAUCUCUCCAGCCCCGACUAUCUGUUCUUGACUUUUUUUUUUUUUUAUGGAUUUGACAAAGCAGGCCCCCAUUGUGAAUGAGGUGGGUAGGGCCUGAUAGCUACCCCUCCAUCCUGAACAUCAUCGGAUCCCUAACAUCAACCUGAUGCUCACCUACCACAAGCUGGUCCUAUAGUUUCAAGGUCCUGCAAACCACAGAGCUAAACAUCUAAGGGCUCCUUCUGCAGGUGGCCUGGGCCUGACCACUCGGUGGAGACCUGUCACAAAGCAGAAUUUCUUACUGUGGCAUGUGACCUCCUAAGCAGCAGGCUGGGGGGCAGGGAGGGGGGAGGGGGAUUGUCCAGCCAUCUCCCAGACUUCUAGACAGGGCAUUGUACAUGGUAUGCAAAGCCCUUGGGGGAGACGAAUGUGUCCUUAGAAACAGUCUUUGCAAACUAGUGUGGUAGCUCAUACCUGUAUUCCCAGCAACUGAGAACCUGAGAUAGGAGGAGUGCCAUGAGUUCAAGGCCAACUUGGGAUACAGAAUGAGAUCCUGUCCCAAACAAACAAGAAAACAAAAAAAGCUCCUCCACCUCCCCACACACACACAAUCAAAUUUUAUUCAGACUGUUCUUUGCAUCUAUAGUUUGUUUAAAUAUUGAUCACAAAACAUUUAGAAAAUAAAGUGAACUCCUGGAGGUCUGCUUUCAUUGAAAGAUAUAGAUUUCUGUGUUUACCUGGGAAGAGACCCACAUACCCUCCCAUCUUCUUUCCGUGACAAGUGUGCAAAAUUUUGUUUGCUGACACAGAAUUAUCACAGGCAUGUGCAGUAUGCCCUUAGCUCUGCAGUCUGGGGGGCUAGGAAUUAAGGUUCACUUGGUUCACGGCUGUGGAGGUAUCUUCCCAAGUGACGGUUUCAGGCUGUACUGUCACCUAGUGCCAGCAUAUAUGACAAAUGAGCCACUUUCCUUCUUUUUGUAACUUCAUAGUUACGAUGUCCCAGCCUCAAAAUCUCACCUAGUAUUGCCUGCUUUCCACAGGCCCCACCUCCAAAUACCACCACUGUAAGAAUUUGGGGAUGUUUCAGACCCAUCAACUUCUGGGAGACACAUUCAAUCAAUAUCAAUAUUGUCAUGUCAGUUUUGCAUGCUUUAAACUUCAUGUAAGCAAAGUCAUGUUAUUCUAGACUUACAUCUUCCCUGCUACCAUUCUCCUGACACAUGGCUCUUGCAGCCAUUCCCAGCUUUGUAAAGCCUCCAGAUCACAGGUUGAUGCCUUGUUUAGACUCUCCACACUGUGUCUCCUGUUCCCUCUUGCUAGUUAGUCCACCUGCCCACAGAUGCCUCCAACUCACUGCAGACAGCACCUGCUGCUACCAGCAUGUUCACCUCCUACCCCCUCAACCUGGCUACUCCCUCCAUGGCCCUGUUCACACUACACACCAGUAUGCCACACCCCUGAUUGGAGGGGGGUGUCCUUCUGUAUGCUGUGAAUAUAUGCUUCUCUUAUUGGUUGAUGAAUAAGCACUGAUUGGCCAGUAGUCAGGCAGGAAGUAUAGGCAGGGCUACCAGCCUAGGAAAGUUCUGGGAAGAGAAAGGCAGAGAGGAGCUACUCUAGAGACGCCAUGUAGCUGCCAAAGGAGUAACAUGCCGGAGCAUUACAGGUAAGCCACAGCCUUGUGGCAAUACAAAGUUUAAUAGAAACGGGUUAAUAAUUAAGAAAGAGCUAGCCAGUAAGAAGCCUGAGUCAUUGGCCAAAUAGUUUACAAUUAAUAUAAGCCUCAGUGUGUUUAUUUAGGACUGAAGGGCGGCGGUGGGACCAGGCUGCACAGAAACUGUCUCUACACACCCCAUCACACAUAAACACAUGCACACACAUGUACAUGUGUUCUGUAUGUUCUGAGAUGCAAACAAUGACUGGUGGCAAGUAGUCUUGCCUGGACUUAAGCCUGCACAUGGGAAUUGAGCUGAGGUUUCUCCUCCCCUGAAGAAUGUCAGUUCAAGACAGCAUUUCUCUCUCUCAUAUUUUCAGGGAAAACCAGUUCCAGUUCUACCCCCCAAAAAGUAUUCUUGCAGCUCCUUUGCAUGUAUAGGUUUCAGUGACAUACUACAGCCGCCACAGUCUAGCCAUGUUUUGAGAAACUGGGGGCUAGUACUAAACACAAUAAUGCCAUCUUUUCACUACUAGAGGUAGAAAGCAAGUGCCAUCCACGUGCCUACAUGUAGAGAUACGAUGUGGGAUUAUGUGAAUAUUGAAUUCUCAAGCCUACAGCACAGGAAGCCCACCACCCACUCUCCUUCUCUGUGCUCAGUGCAUAGUCUCUACUGGCCCCGAACUCCACAGGAAUUAACAAGAUUAGAUUUACUUCUACACAGGCUGUGAGGGAUUUUCUUGAUUAGGGGAGUGUCAGGGGCCUAUAAAGAUGGCUCCACUCCAUCUUAAAAGUCAGACAGUUCAAAACUGUCCUUACUAAGUCUUAAGACCUAAAGGUCUAAGGCAUGGCUACAAUAGGAUGUUUGAUUUUGUCCCUGGGUAUCUUACCUAAAUAUCAACAGACUUGUUAGAAGGUGUGGUUAUUCCUGACCCUCAAGGCCUGAUAAUGAGAAAUUAAAUAUAAGGUGUAGUUAUCAAAUUCUUGGAGAAUUUAGGGAGAAAAUCUGUUUGUCCCAUCCAUAUACAUGAUACCAUGUUCCCCCUUUCGGUUAAGGUAUUUAAGAAUGGUGAAAAAUUAAUUCAGCAUGGUCAGUAUUGACUGAAUCUGCCCUCCUGAUUGUAUUCCAGUGUCUCUGUCUUUCUUUUAACAUCUUUAGCUCACAUUUUCUUUAUCCACAUUCAAACUCUCAGUACGAACCAUGGGCGAGUCAGCUGGCUCCAACUGCAGCCCUGAAAGACAGCUUCCCACAAGGGAGACCCACCCUAAUGUGAGUGGCACCUUCCAACAGUAGCCCAGAUAGGAGUAAGUCCAUUUUGUGCUGUUGCCUGCCCUGCUUGGGAGUUCAUCUGUCCGACUGCCACCAUACUUCAUGGAUGUCCGAACCUAGAUUCUUUAGCCUCCCCAUGGAAACUGAAGACCAGUAGCUCUCCAGGAAUCCUCCAGCAAUAUAUUGGGACUGCUGGGACAUCCAGGGUUGAAU
RNAcentral lists this long non-coding RNA (5372 nucleotides) under Cricetulus griseus (Chinese hamster). RNAcentral's name for it is "lncRNA (ENSCGRG00015030574.1)". The record is from RNAcentral. Lineage: Eukaryota; Metazoa; Chordata; Mammalia; Rodentia; Cricetidae.